RNAcentral lists this unclassified non-coding RNA (223 nucleotides) under Cylindrium elongatum. RNAcentral describes it as "partial internal transcribed spacer region". The stretch from base 1 to 46 matches the Rfam family "Eukaryotic small subunit ribosomal RNA", at positions 1786 to 1831 of the family's 1831-position model. The record is from RNAcentral. Lineage: Eukaryota; Fungi; Ascomycota; Sordariomycetes; Hypocreales; Cylindriaceae.
AAGUCGUAACAAGGUCUCCGUUGGUGAACCAGCGGAGGGAUCAUUACAGAGUCGUAAAAAACUCCCAAACCCAUGUGAACUUACCAUUGUUGCCUCGGCGGACCUACCCUGUAGCUAGCUACCCGGUAGCCCGUCGGUGGACCAUUAAACUCUUGUUAUCUAUGGAUAUCUGAGCGUCUUAUUUAAUAAGUUAAAACUUUCAACAACGGAUCUCUUGGUUCUG